RNAcentral lists this ribosomal RNA (460 nucleotides) under uncultured bacterium. RNAcentral's name for it is "partial 16S ribosomal RNA". It matches the Rfam family "Bacterial small subunit ribosomal RNA", at positions 338 to 795 of the family's 1533-position model. The record is from RNAcentral.
CCUACGGGAGGCAGCAGUGAGGAAUAUUUGUCAAUGGGCGAGAGCCUGAACCAGCCAAGUCGCGUGCAGGAUGACGGCCCUACGGGUUGUACACUUCUUUUGUCCGGGAGCAAUUGGGUCUACGCGUGGGCUUUGCGAGAGUACCUCAAGAUAAAGCAUCGGCUAACUCCUGGCCAGCAGCCGCGGUAAUACGGAGGAUGCGACCGUUAUCAGGAUUUUUGGGGUUAAAAGGAUGCGUAGCCGGAAGAUCAAGUCAGCGGUAAAAAUUCGGGGCUAAACCCCGUCGGGCCGGGGAAACGGGUGUUCUUGAGUGGGCGAGAAGUAUGCGGAAUGCGUGGUGUAGCGGUGAAAUGCAUAGAUAUGACGCAGAACUCCGAUUGCGAAGGCAGCAUACCGGCGCCGAACUGACGCUGAAGCACGAAAGCGUGGGUAUCGAACAGGAUUAGAUACCCGAGUAGUC